AAAUACUGACUUGGGUAAGUUUCCUUUAUGAAGGUCUGGACACUGCGCAUCUCAGGAGGCAGCCGUGAGGGUGACGCCUGGUCAAUGGUGUAGUUUCCCUCCCCAUCCUCUGGCUCACUCAUCUUCACACUGACAAACAAAGAAUGAAGAAGACAACACAGCUUGUUGACUCGCCUGUGGGAUGUAAGGAUGAUGCUGCGACCGGCAUCCCUUACGGAGGUCAGGGCAUCCCAGAGGAGGCGGCGUGCCACUGGGUCCAUCCCUGAGGAGGGCUCAUCCAGGAGCACCAGUGGAGGGUCACCCACCAGUGCCACACCUGUACUCAGCUUCCUCUUGUUUCCACCACUGCAAGAAUAUUACCAGACUUUAUUUACUUAUUGUAUUAUUACAGGAAAGAGUCAAGCUUAUGCUGUGUGUGUGUGUGUGUGUGUGUGUGUGUGUGUGUGUGUGUGUGUGUGUGUGUGUGUGUGUGUGUGUGUGUACUGAUGAGGUAAAGGAAUAAUGGAAAUUGUAUACUUGUGGUGUUCUAUGUCAUUAUUGAGAGAGAUUCAUGAGAGACUGUAGGAAGUGACUGCAGUUAGUAGUAAGCAUACUUACAGUGGGGGAAAUUUGUGGUUCUCUUGGCUGUGUCAGAGAGAGAGAGAGAGAGAGAGAGAGAGAGAGAGAGAGAGAGAGAGAGAGAGAGAGAGAGAGAGAGAGAGAGAGAGAGAAUUGCAUUUUUUGAUUCAUGGCUAAGAGUAAGAUAACUUGUAGCACAAAAUCUCUGUUCACUGAGCCAUUGCUAACAGUGCUCAUCUGUCUUGUGAGGCCCACAAGGCAAGAUUUGAUUAGUGUGUUGUUUUGUGCCUCACCCUCUUUUGUUGUGCCACAUUUGGUGUAUGACGGCCUGGUUACCUUUUGCAAGGUAAACAUUCCAUUCAAACAGAUAUAAGCUUAGAUAGGUGUGAGCAUGUGUGUUUGUCAGGUAGUGGUGAAGUAAUUUGUUGUGGAGGUCUGGCUGGCCCAAAUUGAUAUCUGGAAGAAAUCAGAAAGUGAUGGCAAGGCAGUGCUGUCACUUUCUGGGUCCAUGAGGGUAUUAUUUUGGGCUGGCUAGGCCGGGGGCAGGUUCAUCUCCCCUCCUCAACAAAUCGCUUUACCACCACCUGACAAACACAGAUGCUCACUCCUGCCUGAACCAAUAUAUUUGCUUGUUUGUAAUGCCUGCCUUGUAGAUAACCACAGCUAUAACACUCCUGGCCAUCCCACACCAAAUGUGGUGGUGCAACACACACACACACACACACACACACACACACACACAAAAGAGAAAGAGGCAGAAAAUAACAACCCUCACCAGACAGCUGAACACAGCUGUUCUGCCGACAAUGUUGCCAAGGCAACAUUGUUGGCAAAUGCUCAUUGAACAGAGAUUUUACGCUACAUGAACUCAAUCACAGCAAUGAAUCUAUAUAUGCAAUUAAUCUUUGCCAGCCACCCCACUAAUUAAUUGCAUAGACCAUACUAUGGAACAUACUGAGAGUGAGAAAGAAAGAGUGUGAGGGAGCAAGGUAGCUAGUUAGCUGUGGUUAGUAUGCAUGCUGUGGAUCUGUGUGUGUCCAGGUGUGUGCACAUGCUUGUUAACAAACCUGUAGUUCUUGAAGAGGUUGUCAAGAUGUUGAGUGAUUAGCAGCUCCUCUGCCAAGCUCUUGAUGGUGGAGUCAAUAAGUCGCUCAGGCACACCCCGCAGCCGGGCAAACAUACGCAGUGUCUCCCGGCCUGUCAGGUGGUCCAGGAGUGCAUCAAACUGAGGGCAGUAGCCAAUGUCCUGCCGCACCUGCAAGUGACACCUGGCUGAGGUGGCCAGAAGAGUAUCUUUUCCAGGUGGCCAGAAGAGUAACAAGUAGAGGAUACAGUAGCAACAGUCAGUGAAGAAUAUUUCUACUCAGACUGGUGUCAGUGUCUGCAUGUGCCAGAAACUCAUUAAGUGGUUUCUUGAUGAAGGCGGGAAGGACCUGCCGACCCCUUGUUCCAGAUCUGGUAGGCCAAGAUUCAAGGACCCAGAAACUUAUUGGAAGGCAAGUAUCUGCCACUCCCCACCUGACAGCACGUGAAUUAAAGGAAAAGAGCUGUGGCUGUUGGAUAAGGUCUCUGUCAGGAGAGAGCGUGCAGCAGUGCCUCCAUGAUAGGCUUCAGUUUCCCUGUUAUCUUGACUACAGGAAAUCCCUCCUCACAGCCAACGGUGAAGCACCCUCCAUCGCUGGUGGUAUGGGAAUGUUUCACAAUUACAGUGGUGGCAAAUGAAAAAAUUAACCAAAAUAAUCAUCUGGAAAUUCUGAGUGACCAUCUACCGAAUUCAUUCAAGGAUGUGCAGGCAGACAUUUUCGUGCAGGAUGGUGCACCAUGCCAUAUUGCCAAAUCAGUGGUGCAGUAGCUGUAGGACUGUGAAGUUAAGCACAUUUAAGACUGGCCAUGCAACAGACCUGACUUUAACCCCAUUGAGAACUUGUGGGCACUGAUAAAAUGUUGCCUUUGAAACACUGACAUGUCAUCUCUUCCCAAGCUGGAGGCUGCCAUCAGGGAUAUUGGGAUUAUUUUUCCAGCCCAACAACUCCAGAACCUUGUAGAAUCCAUCCCCAAGAGGCUAAAGGACUACAUCAAGCACCAGGACAACAUUACAAAGUACUGGAGAGGUGACACUUGGAGAUCACCAGUCAACAUUUUGAAAGUGGUAGUCUUGCCAGCACCAUUGAUCCCCAGGAGGCCAAAGCACUCUCCAAGAGGCACCCCAAGAUUGAUGUGGUCCACUGCUGUCAGUCCACCUGGGUAGGUCUUACACAGAUCCCUGAGAAAGGAAUGAUGUGUUAGCAAGGGAUACAACUCUAACACUAACAUCUGACUGACGAACAUAUGAGCCUAUCAGAAUCCAUUAGUUUGUCUGGUGGAGUAUUAAGGAUGCGGAGUCUCUCUGCAACCACGUCCUCAUCUUCCUCUGUGUCCAGCCCAUCCUCCAACUCCCGUCCUGCCGUAUAAAGAAUCACGGCAUUGUACAUAA
This is a long non-coding RNA of Scylla paramamosain (green mud crab), 3031 nucleotides long. RefSeq lists it as uncharacterized. The record is from RefSeq and is a predicted model, not a curated record. The transcript has 5 exons. Lineage: Eukaryota; Metazoa; Arthropoda; Malacostraca; Decapoda; Portunidae.